Molecule: ribosomal RNA, 256 nt
Filed under: uncultured bacterium
Lineage: Bacteria
Description: partial 16S ribosomal RNA
Rfam family: Bacterial small subunit ribosomal RNA
Source: RNAcentral
UACGUAGGAGGCAAGCGUUGUCCGGAAUACUGGGCGUAAAGCGUGCGCAGGCGGUUUGUAAGUUCUGUCGUGAAAGCCCCGGGCUCAACCUGGGAAUUGCGAUGGAGACUGCAAGGCUUGAAUCUGGCAGAGGGGGGUAGAAUUCCACGUGUAGCAGGUGAAAUGCGUAGAGAUGUGGAGGAACACCGAUGGCGAAGGCAGCCCCCUGGGUCAAGAUUGACGCCGCUCAUGCACGAAAGCGUGGGGAGCAAACAGG